Papaver somniferum (opium poppy) is the source of this 1208-nucleotide long non-coding RNA. RefSeq lists it as uncharacterized. The transcript has 4 exons. The record is from RefSeq and is a predicted model, not a curated record. Lineage: Eukaryota; Viridiplantae; Streptophyta; Magnoliopsida; Ranunculales; Papaveraceae.
CUGAAACUUGUCGAGAACUUGACAGUUUUCAUUAAAAUUCACCCUUUAAUUUUUGAAUAGCUUUGCAUGAACUGAAGAUUUAGUUGAUCAAUUUCGAUACGAAGCGUCGAUAGUGUCAAUUUUUCAGCUACACGAAUUCUAACAACCCAACCCUAAAAUCUACUGCACACAAUUUUCUACCAGUAAAAUUUGAACUCGAUUUCAAGUUUCCUAGAACGAGAUUUCAAUUUUUUCAUAUUUUCUCCCAUUCUUCCAUCGUCCUCAACUGAGUUCACACAAUUUCAAAAUUUCACUUGACUUCACUUCCAUUGUCGAGUUGAUUAUUUUUCCUACUCCAGUUCACAAAAUUGUCGACAAGUUUUUUUUUACUUUUAUUGAUUUCAAUUAUUUCAGAUUCCCAUUCUUCCAUCGUCCCCAAAUCGACUCUAAACCCCAAGGAAAGAAUAGAAGCGAAAGUACAGGUUUGCAUGAAAUGAAGAUUUACUUGAUCAAUUUCGAUAUGAAGCUUCGAUAGUGUUAAUAUUUAGCGUCAAUAUUUAGCUACACGGAGAAGAGGAGGCAAAAGGGAAACAAAGAGAAGAAGAAUAAGAAAAAGGAUUAACCAAAAGGAAAUUAUACUGACAGGGAUCAGCAGUAGUGGUGAGACCAGUGCCAUUAAAAUAGCAAUCCAAGUAUGUUUACUAGCAACUCUCUCUUGAAGAUUCAUGACCACUGAUGCAUUGGCGUAUUGCUUAUGUAGUGUUAAGAGUAUAAAAUGACCCUUCUCGAGCUCUAGGAUUGCAAUGAACUCUGAACUACGUGUAACCAAUAUUAUUGCAUUAAGGUACAAUUGGAGUGCAGAAACGAAGAUAUAUUAUUGGAGGAUAAUUGGUGGUCUUUUGGUGCAUGGGAACAUACACUAUGUUGUUUUUGAAAGAAGACUUAUCCACAGGAAAAAAAAAUUUGUUCUUUACUCCUACAUUUUAUGAGUUUUGUAACGGAAAAGCAAGUCGGCAGGUGCAUCGCACAUGCGUCUUUGCUAGUAGUUGAUUCAGAAAUUUUCCAUUUUAGUUCAAAAUAUCUUAUCCUGUCUUUUAGGAAUAGGGCUCAAAUAAUUUGUAUAAGCCUCAAACUAGCCUAGAUUUAAUAUACUGAUUUUCUGAUUUAGUAUUGUGUAUAUACAUAUUAUUCAAUACAUACAAGAAAAUGCUUAAUGAAUGUAGUGGUAA